CAAAUGUGAGCAACCCAUCAGAGAGAGAGAAAGAGAGAGAGAGAGAGAGGGGGAGAGAGUGAGAGUGAGAGAGUGAGAGUGAGAGAGAGAAGUCUAAAAAAGCAUAAAGACCUCAUUUCGCUUCCCUUUUGCUCUCUCCUCACAAAUACUCUCUUAAACCCUCUUUCUCUUCGUUCUCUAACUUUCGCGGCAUCCAAAAAUCGCCCCGCUGUACCAGAAAUUGCUUCAUGCGGUGGGGCACCACCAGACCUCCUCAUUCUACCCUUAUUUUCUUCCUCUUUUCACCCAAUUUCUAACCAUAACCUUCAAAUUGUCAAAACCCAACCCAAAACCCUCAAAUCAAAACAAACAUAUGAAACCCUAAAAUGUCUGAAAUGAAAUUAAAUCUUAGAUGUUCACCAUUUCAAUUAAUUAGGGAAGGACUAUGGAUUAACAAGUCAAAGCGUUCAUCAUGGUAUCAAGAAUGAAGAGAAAUAACACUUACCAACGGGAAUGUAAAGAUUCAUGGUAAUGAUUAUCACUGAUGAAGAGAGCGAAAAAGAAACCCAGAGGAAGCUUGGAGAUUCAGUUUGGCCUGGCUUGGUGAUAGCUUGGGGUUUGCCUUGAGCAACUUGCUUGGAGAGGAUGAAAAGGUACGAAUCAUGAAGCGCCAAUGAUGAUGGAGCUGACUUGGUUUAAGUUGGUUAGGCUUGUUCAUGAAGACUAAUUGGGAGCUUAAUUUGCAGCUGAAACUUUUAAGUGUGAAGCUUAGGCUUAAAGGAAAUUUGGCUUAAAGCUACACCGAUUUUUGUUGUCAUUUUCUGAAAUAUCAUAUUAUAUGUAUGUAGAUAAUAUGUAUGCAAAAAGAAAAGAAUGUGUAGUGAAUAGAGUGAUAAAGUGUUAGUGUGUAUUUGUGAUGUAAAAGAAUAUUGAUCAAUAAAAAAGUCUCUUUUCUUUAUUUCAAA
Molecule: long non-coding RNA, 944 nt
Organism: Lathyrus oleraceus (garden pea)
Lineage: Eukaryota; Viridiplantae; Streptophyta; Magnoliopsida; Fabales; Fabaceae
Exons: 2
Source: RefSeq, a predicted model, not a curated record